This 483-nucleotide ribosomal RNA is filed under the name uncultured bacterium. RNAcentral's name for it is "partial 16S ribosomal RNA". It matches the Rfam family "Bacterial small subunit ribosomal RNA", at positions 28 to 507 of the family's 1533-position model. The record is from RNAcentral.
GAUGAACGCUGGCGGCGUGCCUAACACAUGCAAGUCGAACGGAGUCGUUUUGGCAAUCUCUUCGGAGAUGGAAUUCUCGACUUAGUGGCGGACGGGUGAGUAACGCGUGAGCAAUCUGCCUUUAAGAGGGGGAUAACAGUCGGAAACGGCUGCUAAUACCGCGUAAAGCAUUAAAUUCGCAUGUUUUUGAUGCCAAAGGAGCAAUCCGCUUUUAGGUGAGCUCGCGUCUGAUUAGCUAGUUGGCGGGGUAACGGCCCACCAAGGCGACGAUCAGUAGCCGGACUGAGAGGUUGAGCGGCCACAUUGGGACUGAGACACGGCCCAGACUCCUACGGGAGGCAGCAGUGGGGAAUAUUGCGCAAUGGGGGAAACCCUGACGCAGCAACGCCGCGUGAUUGAAGAAGGCCUUCGGGUUGUAAAGAUCUUUAAUCAGGGACGAAACAAAUGACGGUACCUGAAGAAUAAGCUCCGGCUAACUACGUG